AGUUUCCUUGUAUAAUGAUUAUGUAAGAAGUUUUAAGGGCGGUGGCUGUCUUUUUCCUUGAGAGGUGAAGUCUAUGGAAACAUGGAAUAAUCUUGAGAAAGGUUUCACAGUCAUGAGUGUCUUUCAGGCACUCUCGUUGAUGUUGCUGUCUGGCACGUUUUUAAUCGCGCUGCUCAGCUAUAU
Molecule: small RNA, 183 nt
Filed under: Bombilactobacillus mellifer
Lineage: Bacteria; Bacillati; Bacillota; Bacilli; Lactobacillales; Lactobacillaceae
Description: Lactobacillus mellifer Listeria sRNA rli28
Rfam family: Listeria sRNA rli28
Source: Rfam by way of RNAcentral